This 468-nucleotide ribosomal RNA is filed under the name uncultured bacterium. Its description in RNAcentral is "partial 16S ribosomal RNA". It matches the Rfam family "Bacterial small subunit ribosomal RNA", at positions 28 to 507 of the family's 1533-position model. The record is from RNAcentral.
GACGAACGCUGGCGGCGUGCUUAACACAUGCAAGUCGAACGGAAAUUCUCUGCUUUUGUGGGGUUCUCGAGUGGCGAACGGGUGAGUAACACGUGAGUAACCUUCCCUUGACUUUGGGAUAACUUCAGGAAACUGGGGCUCAUACCGGAUAGUUGCUCCUGCUUCGUGGUGGGGGUUGGAAAGUUUCGGCGGUUGGGGAUGGACUCGCGGCGUAUCAGCUUGUUGGUGGGGUAGUGGCUUACCAAGGCUCUGACGGGUAGCCGGCCUGAGAGGGUUACCGGCAACAUUGGGACUGAGAUACGGCCCAGACUCCUACGGGAGGCAGGAGUGGGGAAGAGUGCACAGUGGGAGGGAGCCAGAUGCAGCAAAGCGGCGUGCGGGAUGACGACAUUCGGGUUGUAAACCGAUUUCGCAUGUGAAGAAGAGUGAGUGACGGUAAUGGGUAAAGAAGCACCGGCUAACUACGUG